CGCUGAUCGGCCUGCAGAGCGGCAGGUCAACAGGAAGCGGCAGGUCAACAGGAAGCGGCAGGUCAACAGGAAGCGGCAGGACAACAGGAAGCAGCAGGUCAACAGGAAGUAGCAGGUCAACAGGAAGCAGCAGGUCAACAGGAAGCAGCAGGUCAACAGGAAGCAACAGGUCAACAGGAAGCGGCAGGUCAACAGGAAGCAGCAGGUCAACAGGAAGCAGCAGGUCAACAGGAAGCAGCAGGUCAACAGGAAGCAGCAGGUCAGCAGGAAGCAGCAGGUCAGCAGGAAGCCGUAGGCCAACAGGAAGCAGCAGGUCAACAGGAAGCAGCAGGUCAGCAGGAAGCAGCAGGUCAACAGGAAGCGGCAGGUCAACAGGAAGCAGCAGGUCAACAGGAAGCAGCAGGUCAACAGGAAACA
Long non-coding RNA from Poecilia latipinna (sailfin molly), 417 nucleotides. RefSeq lists it as uncharacterized. The transcript has 2 exons. NCBI's taxonomy places the organism in Eukaryota, Metazoa, Chordata, Actinopteri, Cyprinodontiformes, Poeciliidae. The record is from RefSeq and is a predicted model, not a curated record.